UACAUGGGGUGCAAACGUUGCUCGGAAUUAUUGGGCGUAAAGCGCGCGUAGGCGGCUACCUAAGUCGGAUGUGAAAGCCCCUGGCUUAACUGGGGAAGUGCACCCGAAACUGGGUAGCUAGAGUGCAAAAGAGGGUCGCGGAAUUCCCGGUGUAGAGGUGAAAUUCGUAGAUAUCGGGAGGAACACCAGUGGCGAAGGCGACUACCUGGCCUGUUCUUGACGCUGAGGCGCGAAAGCUAGGGGAGCAAACGGG
This 253-nucleotide ribosomal RNA is filed under the name uncultured bacterium. Its description in RNAcentral is "partial 16S ribosomal RNA". It matches the Rfam family "Bacterial small subunit ribosomal RNA", at positions 524 to 776 of the family's 1533-position model. The record is from RNAcentral.